GAUGAACGCUGGCGGCGUGCCUAAUACAUGCAAGUCGAGCGAACAGAUGAGGAUCUUGCUCCUCUGACGUUAGCGGCGGACGGGUGAGUAACACGUGGAUAACCUACCUAUAAGACUGGGAUAACUUCGGGAAACCGGAGCUAAUACCGGAUAAUAUAUUGAACCGCAUGGUUCAAUAGUGAAAGACGGUUUUGCUGUCACUUAUAGAUGGAUCCGCGCCGCAUUAGCUAGUUGGUAAGGUAACGGCUUACCAAGGCAACGAUGCGUAGCCGACCUGAGAGGGGGAUCGGCCACACUGGAACUGAGACACGGUCCAGACUCCUACGGGAGGCAGCAGUAGGGAAUCUUGCGCGAUGGGCGAAAGCCUGACGGAGCAACGCCGCGUGAGUGAUGAAGGUCUUCGGAUCGUAAAACUCUGUUAUUAGGGAAGAACAAAUGUGUAAGUAACUAUGCACGUCUUGACGGUACCUAAUCAGAAAGCCACGGCUAACUACGUG
Molecule: ribosomal RNA, 497 nt
Filed under: uncultured bacterium
Lineage: Bacteria
Description: partial 16S ribosomal RNA
Rfam family: Bacterial small subunit ribosomal RNA
Source: RNAcentral